UACGUAGGGUGCAAGCGUUAAUCGGAAUUACUGGGCGUAAAGCGUGCGCAGGCGGUUAUAUAAGACAGUUGUGAAAUCCCCGGGCUCAACCUGGGGAACUGCAUCUGUGACUGUAUAGCUAGAGUACGGUAGAGGGGGAUGGAAUUCCGCGUGUAGCAGUGAAAUGCGUAGAUAUGCGGAGGAACACCGAUGGCGAAGGCAAUCCCCUGGACCUGUACUGACGCUCAUGCAC
This 232-nucleotide ribosomal RNA is filed under the name uncultured bacterium. Its description in RNAcentral is "partial 16S ribosomal RNA". It matches the Rfam family "Bacterial small subunit ribosomal RNA", at positions 524 to 754 of the family's 1533-position model. The record is from RNAcentral.